UAGGGAAUCUUCCGCAAUGGACGAAAGUCUGACGGAGCAACGCCGCGUGAGUGAAGAAGGAUUUCGGUUCGUAAAACUCUGUUGUUAGGGAAGAAAAAAUGUAUAGUAACUAUAUACAAAAGAGACGGUACCUAACCAGAAAGCCACGGCUAACUACGUGCCAGCAGCCGCGGUAUACGUAGGUGGCAAGCGUUGUCCGGAAUUAUUGGGCGUAAAGCGCGCGCAGGUGGUUUAGAAAGUCUGAUGUGAAAGCCCACGGCUCAACCGUGGAGGGUCAUUGGAAACUAAUAAACUUGAGUGCAGGAGAGAAAAGUGGAAUUCCUAGUGUAGCGGUGAAAUGCGUAGAGAUUAGGAGGAACACCGGUGGCGAAAGCGGCUUUUUGGCCUGCAACUGACACUGAGGCGCGAAAGCGUGGGGAGCAAACAGG
Molecule: ribosomal RNA, 428 nt
Filed under: Verrucomicrobiota bacterium
Lineage: Bacteria; Pseudomonadati; Verrucomicrobiota
Description: Verrucomicrobia bacterium partial 16S ribosomal RNA
Rfam family: Bacterial small subunit ribosomal RNA
Source: RNAcentral